AACCCUGCAUGGCACAGUGUUUUCGAUCCCGCAUUUCCUACAAUGUUCGCUGCUCGAUCUUCAUGCAUUCCUUCGUUCGGUCUUCGAAUGCAAGAAUUAUUCAACGAGAUCGGUAUUGAUGUAUCAGCCAUAUGUAAAUCUGAACACCUCUCCAUUGCACCUUGGAACAUCUCCCACAUAGCAGUGGAUUUUAGCCUUCAAUCACAUCCUAAGGAUUCUGUCCCAGAAUCCUUUUCCAACAUCUCUUUGCAGAUAUCCACCAACUGAACACAGACUUUAUUUCUAUUUUCACAGAUGGUUCCAAAUCUGGUAGCCAUGUGGGAUCCGCUUUUGUGUGCACUGACGAAGUCUUGU
This 354-nucleotide long non-coding RNA is filed under the name Androctonus crassicauda. Lineage: Eukaryota; Metazoa; Arthropoda; Arachnida; Scorpiones; Buthidae. The record is from RNAcentral.